AAAUGAUACGUUUACAUUUAUGUUUAAAUUUUGUCCCUCCUUCUUGCAAAUAAAUAAAUUCCCUAGAGGAGUGGCGGGGAAUGGUGGAGUGGAGGACCCUGGACAGCCAGCUGCCUGGAAAAAUCAUCUCUAUCCCUGGAACACAUGUGGUUCCCAAAAGCCAAUGACAAACAGCAGCACUCGAUGCUGGAAGACAACGGAGGAGCAUCUGUCUAACUCGAGAAUAAAGUAUCCAGCCAAGAGGUCCAGACUGGAAAGUAACACACCAUCCAUCUCAAACAGCCAGAAACCCAGGGAAUACAGACGGCAUUCAUGAGCUCUUCUCAGAAAAUAUCACCCAGGUGACAAAAUCCAGACCAAUGAAAGAGGAAAUCAAAAUAAAGAUAGAGGCAUGGACAAGCUGUGAUCAAAGGUCUAAUGGGGCAGAGGGGAGACAAACUAAGGAGCAACAUUCCCUGGAGGAAGCCGUUCAAAACCUUUCCAUCUGGAAAGAUGAGGACCUUGGGCUGGUCGCUUUGAAAGCCAAUCUGCCUGUACUUCAAAGAGAUACCAUGCUGUGGGAUCUACCAGGUGCUGUGAAGCCAUCAUCCAGAAAUUUCUCUGAAAAAACAUACUUUAUAGCUUUGCUUCAAAAUCUUGUUAUAUUUGAUUUCAGUGUUCAGUGUUUAAAAUGUUAAGUUCAAGCCCUUUCAACAGAAAGCCCUCUGCAUGGAGGCCAGGCUGCCAACACCGCAGGUGGAGAUCGGAUGACAGGGACUGCACACAAAUGGGUCUCCUCACUGGGGAUCCAGGGAGAAGGUGGAGGGACGGACGCUGAUACAAAGACUUAAAGGUAGUUUCUAGAAGAACCACUGACUGAAAUGCAGCAGGGGUUUGAUGGUCAGUGAAUUAAUGCCUUCUAUGCCUGAGCUUCCUCUUUCUGCUGAACUAGGAAAAGUGACAUCAGGCGACCAUCAAACAUGAAGUUUUUGCAAUAAUAGUAUCAGUAACUGUAACAUCAAAAACAAUAGCUACUACUUGCUAAGCUUCUGUUACAUUAUCAGGCACUAAGCUGACUUAUCUAUGUACCUUAUCUCAUUUCUUUUUCUUUUUCUUUUUUGAGGAAGGGUCUUGCUCUGUCACCCAGGCUGCAGUGCAGUAACACCACCUUGGCUCACUGCAACCUCCACCUCCUGGGUUCAAGUGAUCCUCCCACCUUAGCCUCCAGAACAGCUGGGAUUACAGGUGCAUAUCACCACAACUGGCUAAUUUUUAGUUUUUUUGUAGAGAUGAGAUCUUACUCUGUUGCCCAAGCUGAUCUCAAACUCUUGGGCUCAAGCAAUCCUCCUGCCUCAGACUCCCAAAGUGCUGGGAUUGUAGGCAUGAACCACCACACCCAGCCACCUCAUUUCAUUUCAACCUCCUAACACGCCAGUGCAGUAGGUCUCCUCAUCUUACAGGCCUGGAGGACUUAAGUACAAGUUCAAGGUCACAUGGCCAGUAAUGGCAGACCCAGGGUAUGGAGGAAUGACCAUCUGACUCUGUAUUAGUCCGUUUUCACGCUGCUGAUAAAGACGCACCCACGACUGGGAAGAAAAAGAGGUUUACUUGACUUACAGUUCCACAUGGCUGGGGAGGCCUCACAAUCAUGGCAGAAGACAAUGAGGAGCAAGUCACCUCUUACAUGGAUGGCAGUAGGCAAAGAGAGAGAACUUGGGCAGGGAAACUCCCAUUUUAAAAACCAUCAGAUCUCCUGAGACUCAUUCACUAUCACAAGAACAGCACAGAAAAGACUCACCCCAUAAUUCAAUCACCUCCCACCUGGAUCCACCCACCACAUGUGGGAAUUGUGGGAGUUACAAUUCAAGAUGAGAUUUGGGUGGGGACACAGCCAAACCAUAUCAGACUCUAAAGUCCAGACUCUUAACCAUGUGAUCAUGUUUAUUCCCUGCCUGGUACCAACUUGGAAGCAACUGGUCUCCAGAGAGGGAUGAAAGUCAGGGGCACAGUGACUGUCCACUGACUUGCACAAAAUUGAUAAACCUGCCCGUAAGAGGUUUAGACACAAAGCUGCCUUGAGGCCACUAAACAUGUUCAUGUAUGUGUUAAGUUUGAGUGGAUGAAGCAUUAAACUCCUAACUCUACUUACAAAGGAGAAUGAGCUGGGUCUAAGUUCUGGGCCUCACUCAGUUUACCCUGUGUCCCCAGGUGAGUUGCUGAGCUUCAAGCCCUCACCUUUGCUAUGGGAAAAUGUGCCCUGAUUAGCUCACAAAAAAAAGGCUGCUGAGGGGUCAAAACGAAAUUAACAGCUAAGAAUCAGUGUUUUGUGAUUGCUUUAAUAGGGUUCUAGUUUUUACAGAAAAUUUAAAAUUUUGAUGAUGGCAUCUUUUAUUUCUCAGAUGCUACUGAAUCUGCCUAUUAGAAGCUUGGAUGCUUAGACCAUGAAGCCACAGUGGAAACUUUAAGACAGUCCUCAAGAGCUAGCAGCAGUCUUGGGGGUAGAGAUCACUGACAUGCAGGCAGAAAGGCCAGACCUCCCCAACCAACCCCCUGCCCCUGGAACCCCAAUAAUGUCUCUCAUUUGGUUGGCAGUUUUGUAAAACUGGGAGUUGAAUGUCUUGAGUCUGGCAUAUAUUGCUAGUUGUGAUAAUUCCCACUAACUUCUCUUGUACUAUAUGAGGCAUUUUACACAUUCAUAUUAUUAAUCUGCCUGGACCAUGAAGGCUUUUUACCCAGCACUGAAGAGUUAGUUGAUUAAUUUGUUCUUUUUUCUCA
Molecule: long non-coding RNA, 2754 nt
Filed under: Homo sapiens (human)
Lineage: Eukaryota; Metazoa; Chordata; Mammalia; Primates; Hominidae
Description: HSALNT0385144
Source: RNAcentral